This is a long non-coding RNA of Trematomus bernacchii (emerald rockcod), 293 nucleotides long. RefSeq lists it as uncharacterized. Lineage: Eukaryota; Metazoa; Chordata; Actinopteri; Perciformes; Nototheniidae. The record is from RefSeq and is a predicted model, not a curated record. The transcript has 4 exons.
UCUGACUCUGGAGAGUAUUUCUGUUCAGCUGAGAACAAGCUGGGACGGAGGACAUCGGAAAAGUUUUUUAUUGAUGUGAAAUAUAAAUCCCCAAUGAUCAUGAACAUCACCAGGUUGGUUCUGGGGGUUCUGGUGCUGAUUCCUCUGCUCCUUGUCUGUCUCUGGAUGAGGAAGAAGAAGGCUUCGAGCUCUUCCACUGAAGCGAAUGAGCCCAUAGAGACUGUGGAGAUAGAUCAUUUUUCUGUGUAUGAGAACGUCUCAGACCUGAACAUGGUCUCUGCAGAACAGACAGA